UCGAUUUCGUCGGGAUCUACCUCCUCCCAGAGACUGACGGAUACGGUCGACUUUCACCUCCUCCCGAUCGUCGACCAUCUAUAUGACGCCCGCCGCACCUCCUCCCGCGGCGGGCGUUGUGC
RNAcentral lists this small RNA (122 nucleotides) under Mesorhizobium hungaricum. Its description in RNAcentral is "Mesorhizobium sp. UASWS1009 Alphaproteobacterial ar14". It matches the Rfam family "Alphaproteobacterial ar14". From Rfam's summary of the family: Smr14C2 was renamed NfeR1 (Nodule Formation Efficiency RNA) highly expressed in salt stress and during the symbiotic interaction on legume roots. Lineage: Bacteria; Pseudomonadati; Pseudomonadota; Alphaproteobacteria; Hyphomicrobiales; Phyllobacteriaceae. The record is from Rfam by way of RNAcentral.